This 774-nucleotide ribosomal RNA is filed under the name uncultured Neocallimastigales. Its description in RNAcentral is "partial large subunit ribosomal RNA". It matches the Rfam family "Eukaryotic large subunit ribosomal RNA", at positions 20 to 621 of the family's 3401-position model. Lineage: Eukaryota; Fungi; Neocallimastigomycota; Neocallimastigomycetes; Neocallimastigales. The record is from RNAcentral.
UACUAGAGUAGCACUCGCAUAUCAAUAAGCGGAGGAAAAGAAACUAACAAGGAUUCCCCUAGUAACGGCGAGUGAAGCGGGAAGAGCUCAAAUUUGAAAUCUUAAAGGGUUUCCCUUUACGAAUUGUAGUUUAAAGAAGUGUUUUCUGUUGAGGUUUUGGUAAAAGUUCUUUGGAAUAGGGCAUCAUAGAGGGUGAGAAUCCCGUAUUUGACCUUUACUUUCAACUUUGUGAUACACUUUCAAAGAGUCGGAUUGUUUGGGAAUGCAGUCCAAAAUGGGUGGUAAAUUUCAUCUAAAGCUAAAUAUUGGCGAGAGACCGAUAGCGAACAAGUACCGUGAGGGAAAGAUGAAAAGAACUUUGAAAAGAGAGUUAAACAGUACGUGAAAUUGUCAAAAGGGAAGCGUUUGACACCAGUGUUGUUUUUCUGAAAAUCAAUUAAAGAACUGUUUAUGCUAAGUUGUUUAGACUUUAUCAGCUAUCUGCUUAGUUUUGAGCUUUUCUUUAAUGCACUUUUCAGUUAACAAGUCAACAUCAAUUUCUUUUGCUGUAAAAAAGCUUGAGGAAGGUGGCUUGAGAUUCGUCUUAAGUGUUUAUAGCCUCUUGCCUAUGCAGUCGGAGAGAUUGAGGUCUGCAGCGUAGAUCCUUCGGGGCUAAAUGCAUUUGUGCUAAGUUAUAGCAUUUUAUAGACAACUUGUUGACUAUGAUUUGUCUUGUAGCUUACUCGCUUAUGUUAUUUUACCUACGCUUAGGAUGUUGAACUCUAUCACACACAG